UGCCAGCCGCCGCGGUAAUACGGAGGGUCCAAGCGUUAUCCGGAAUCAUUGGGUUUAAAGGGUGCGCAGGCGGUUUAUUAAGUCAGUGGUGAAAUCUCGGGGCUCAACCCCGAAACUGCCAUUGAUACUGAUAAACUUGAGUUCAGUUGGAGUAGGCGGAAUGUGUAGUGUAGCGGUGAAAUGCUUAGAUAUUACACAGAACACCGAUAGCGAAGGCAGCUUACUAAACUGAUACUGACGCUGAGGCACGAAAGCGUGGGGAGCGAACAGGAUUAGAUA
Molecule: ribosomal RNA, 279 nt
Filed under: uncultured bacterium
Lineage: Bacteria
Description: partial 16S ribosomal RNA
Rfam family: Bacterial small subunit ribosomal RNA
Source: RNAcentral